This 243-nucleotide unclassified non-coding RNA is filed under the name fungal sp. RNAcentral describes it as "partial internal transcribed spacer region". The stretch from base 1 to 46 matches the Rfam family "Eukaryotic small subunit ribosomal RNA", at positions 1786 to 1831 of the family's 1831-position model. Lineage: Eukaryota; Fungi. The record is from RNAcentral.
AAGUCGUAACAAGGUAACCGUAGGUGAACCUGCGGUUGGAUCAUUACCAAAUGAUGCCUGUCUGUCUGUACUCCUGCCCUCGGGUGGUCGAGUUCAGGCGGGCUGGCCAACUACACCUGUGCACUAUGCUGUUUUUUGGGUAGUCGGUGCAAACUGGCUGCCCAGCCAUAUAAACACCUUUAAUUUACGCUGAACAUGAAUAAAAAUCAUAAACAACUUUUGACAACGGAUCUCUUGGCUCUC